CAAGUAAUAUGAUUAACUUUUAACCAUAUACAUGCAUUCGACAUUUGUAUUCUUUUACAUCCUUUGCAUCAUUUCUUUUUACAUUACAUAAUCCCCAAAAUAAAACUCAUUACAUUCUUUCAUUUAAACAUUUGCAUCGUUCAUACAACUAUAUUCAUCAAAUUACAAAAGAUGAUAUAUAAAAGGUAUGCAACUACACAAAAUAUAACCAACAAGGGCUGUCUAUGACGCGAUACCUUUACCGCGAUCGUCGGCCGGCUCACUCG
Molecule: long non-coding RNA, 266 nt
Filed under: Ananas comosus (pineapple)
Lineage: Eukaryota; Viridiplantae; Streptophyta; Magnoliopsida; Poales; Bromeliaceae
Description: long non-coding RNA (ACOM_LNC005171)
Source: RNAcentral